AGCGUACGUUAAAGUUGCUGCAGUUAAAAAGCUCGUAGUUGAACGUUCGGGUUCCGCGGGACGGGGCCGCCCCGCGAGGGACGGCGCCGCCCCGGGGCUCGUGAUAUCUUAUCUCGCCGCCCGUCGCGAGGCGGACGGAGGGAUGGAUGAGGUUACCUGGAAAAAAUCGGGGCGAUCUAGGCGGGCGAACCUCGCCAACGAACGAUCGGACAUGGGAUAACGGAAGAGGGCGUCGGCUCGACUUCGUCGGUUCCUCGGGCCGAGGCACGUACGGUGAAUAGGGACGGUCGGGGCCGCCCGUACCGGGUCGUGAGAGGUGAAAUUCUAGGAUCGACCCGAGACGAACUGCCGCGAAAGCAUUCGGCAAGGACGCUUUCAUUAAUCAAGAACGAAAGUCGGGGGAUCGAAGACGAUCAGAUACCGUCGUAGUCCCGACCGUAAACGAUGCCGACC
Molecule: ribosomal RNA, 453 nt
Filed under: uncultured eukaryote
Lineage: Eukaryota
Description: bacterial SSU rRNA
Rfam family: Eukaryotic small subunit ribosomal RNA
Source: RNAcentral